GACGAACGCUGGCGGCGUGCUUAACACAUGCAAGUCGAACGGAAAGGCCCUGCUUUUGUGGGGUGCUCGAGUGGCGAACGGGUGAGUAACACGGGAGUAACCUGCCCUUGACUUUGGGAUAACUUCAGGAAACUGGGGCUAAUACCGGAUAGGAGCUCCUGCUGCAUGGUGGGGGUUGGAAAGUUUCGGCGGUUGGGGAUGGACUCGCGGCUUAUCAGCUUGUUGGUGGGGUAGUGGCUUACCAAGGCUUUGACGGGUAGCCGGCCUGAGAGGGGGAGCGGCCACAUUGGGACUGAGAUACGGCCCAGACUCCUACGGGAGGCAGCAGUGGGGAAUAUUGCACAAUGGGCGGAAGCCUGAUGCAGCAACGCCGCGUGCGGGAUGACGGCCUUCGGGUUGUAAACCGCUUUCGCCUGUGACGAAGCGUGAGUGACGGUAAUGGGUAAAGAAGCACCGGCUAACUACGUG
This 468-nucleotide ribosomal RNA is filed under the name uncultured bacterium. RNAcentral describes it as "partial 16S ribosomal RNA". It matches the Rfam family "Bacterial small subunit ribosomal RNA", at positions 28 to 507 of the family's 1533-position model. The record is from RNAcentral.